This 268-nucleotide long non-coding RNA is filed under the name Amborella trichopoda. RNAcentral describes it as "long non-coding RNA (ATRI_LNC000727)". The record is from RNAcentral. Lineage: Eukaryota; Viridiplantae; Streptophyta; Magnoliopsida; Amborellales; Amborellaceae.
ACACACCUAAGCAAUAGCAUAUAAACCAAUUAUCACCGAAUAACGUAAUGCAAGAAAAAAAAAAAAAAUGGUUCUUUCAAUGUAGACCCUAACUAACUUUAGAUUCUCUUCUAAUGUACAGAAAAUAAAGAUUAAAAUUACACAGGUUAAUAAAUUACACAACAAAUUCAAAAUAAAAACUUAUACAAGAUAAGUAUGGUACUAAUGAAAAAUCAUUUAAAUUAAUUUACCUCUUCAAUCUCCUCCAAUGCCUCCAACAUAAUUUCUC